CUACGGGUUGCUCCAGUGAGGAAUAUUGCACAAUGGGGGAAACCCUGAUGCAGCAACGCCGCGUGGAGGAUGACGCAUUUCGGUGUGUAAACUCCUUUUAUCAGAGAAGAAAAUGACGGUAUCUGAUGAAUAAGCUCCGGCUAACUCCGUGCCAGCAGCCGCGGUAAUACGGAGGGGGCAAGCGUUAUUCGGAAUCACUGGGCGCAAAGGACGCGUAGGCGGGUUUUUAAGUCAGGUGUGAAAUCCUAUGGCUCAACCAUAGAACUGCACUUGAAACUGGGGACCUAGAGUAUGGAAGGGGAAGGUGGAAUUAGUGGUGUAGGGGUAAAAUCCGUAGAUAUCACUAGGAAUACCGAAAGCGAAGGCGACCUGCUGGGACAUUACUGACGCUGAGGCGUGAAAGCGUGGGGAGCAAACAGGAUUAGAUACCCCCGUAGUC
Molecule: ribosomal RNA, 439 nt
Filed under: uncultured bacterium
Lineage: Bacteria
Description: partial 16S ribosomal RNA
Rfam family: Bacterial small subunit ribosomal RNA
Source: RNAcentral